Long non-coding RNA from Cyprinus carpio (common carp), 863 nucleotides. NCBI's taxonomy places the organism in Eukaryota, Metazoa, Chordata, Actinopteri, Cypriniformes, Cyprinidae. The record is from Ensembl.
GUUCCUUUAUUAAUUUUUUCACCUUGAUAUCCGAGAUCACCUUGAUUUGCAAGAAUUUCUCAAUGCUGAAUGUAAUGUAUUUAUAUGGUAUUGAUUUUGUUCUUCCUAAAGGGAAAUGGUGCGAGCUGAAUGUUGAUGAGUGCAAAUCUAAUCCAUGCCGGGACAACAGGAGGUGCAUCAACAGUCUUAACAGUUUCCAGUGUGUGUGCUCCAGAGGUUUCAUGGGCUAUCACUGUGAGAGAAACAUUGAUGAGUGCUCAUCCAACCCCUGUGUUCAUGGGAGUUGCCUGGAUGAAAUGGAUGCAUACAGCUGUCAGGGUGAGGUUGGAUGAACCGGUCACAGAUGUGAGAUCAACAUUAAUGAGUGUGAGACUCAUCCUUGUCUUAAUGGAAGCUCAUGUGUGGAUCUUCAGGACAAAUAUGCCUGCAUAUGCAUAUGUUUCACUGGGAAGGACUGUGAGAUUGACCACAAUGUGUGUCUGCAGACGUCUCUUAAUUUCUCAUUGUGUUUUAAUCUGGACAUCUGGAUGGACCUGGGGCCAGCUUCACAUGCAGGUUUUGUGGGAGAUUUCUGUGAGGUAGAGAUGAAUGAAUGCUGCUCUGAGACUUGCUUUCACAGGGCCAUCUGCCAAGACCUCAUCAAUGGCUACCAAUGUCACUGUCGACCAGGUGAGGCAUUUAUGUUAUAGAAAAUACAUAAUAUAAUGCAAUAUAGUAUAUAAAGGUAUGAAGAAAGUGGGUUACCUCUUAUUUGCUUUAUACUGUAUGUACUGUAUUUGGCUUAUGCUUUAUAGACAGGGUUAAUGACAUAGUAAAUAAUAUCUUGAUGUGUAUUUUGCAAUAAAAACAAUUCUCGGUCAGCA